UACGAACCGUACGAACGUUAUUCGGAAUUACUGGGCUUAAAGGGUGCGUAGGCUGCGCAGCAAGUUGGGUGUGAAAUCCCUCGGCUUAACCGAGGAACUGCGCCCAAAACUGCUGUGCUCGAGGGAGACAGAGGUGAGCGGAACUUAGGGUGGAGCGGUGAAAUGCGUUGAUAUCCUAAGGAACACCGGUGGCGAAAGCGGCUCACUGGGUCUCUUCUGACGCUGAGGCACGAAAGCUAGGGGAGCGAACGGG
RNAcentral lists this ribosomal RNA (253 nucleotides) under uncultured bacterium. RNAcentral's name for it is "partial 16S ribosomal RNA". It matches the Rfam family "Bacterial small subunit ribosomal RNA", at positions 524 to 776 of the family's 1533-position model. The record is from RNAcentral.